Molecule: ribosomal RNA, 345 nt
Filed under: Candidatus Saccharimonadota bacterium
Lineage: Bacteria; Candidatus Saccharimonadota
Description: partial 23S ribosomal RNA
Rfam family: Bacterial large subunit ribosomal RNA
Source: RNAcentral
UGGUCUGUUCGCCCAUUAAAGUGGCACGCGAUCUGGGUUCAGAACGUCGUGAGACAGUUCGGUUUAUAUCCGGUAUGGACGUCAGGAAAUUUGAGAGGAUCUGCCCCUAGUACGAGAGGACCGGGGUGGACGUACCUCUGGUGUAUCGAUUGUGGCCACCUGCUGCAUUGUCGAGUAGCUAUGUACGGACUAGAUAAGCGCUGAAAGCAUAUUAAGCGCGAAACUAACCUCAAGAUUAGAUUUCCCUAUGAGGACACAGAGAGACUAUCUGUUUGAUAGGUGCAAGGUGGAAGUGCAGCAAUGUAUGGAGCCGAAGCAUACUAAUAGUCCCAUUGCCUUUUUAUG